CACGUAGGAGGCGAACGUUAUCCGGAUUUACUGGGCGUAAAGCGCGUGUAGGUGGUUCUGUAAGUAGGGCGUGAAAGCUCCCGGCUCAACUGGGAGAGGCCGUUCUAAACUGCAGAGCUAGAGGAUGGUAGAGGGAGGUGGAAUUCCAGGUGUAGCGGUGGAAUGCGCAGAUAUCUGGAGGAACACCAGUGGCGAAGGCGGCCUCCUGGACCAUUCCUGACACUCAGACGCGAAAGCUAGGGUAGCAAACGGGAUUAGAUACCCGCGUAGUCCCU
Molecule: ribosomal RNA, 275 nt
Filed under: uncultured prokaryote
Description: partial 16S ribosomal RNA
Rfam family: Bacterial small subunit ribosomal RNA
Source: RNAcentral